AAACUGCAGCUUCCGGUAUUGCAGACGUAUGUGGUUAACUACGUCACAUCCGGGCCGGUGCUCCACUUUCCCCGGGAGCAGCUGAUCGUUGAGACUGAAGACAAUGAAUCUGUUUUAAUGAUGAAAAGAAGUGCAGAAAUGAAGCCAGGCCGUGUUCUACCCAGAUCUCCUGACUGACGUCUGGUCCUCAUGUCGGAGUUUGGCUGAACUGAAAAAUCCAGAACUGCAGAGAUGAAACCAGGCCGUGUUCUACCCAGAACUCCUGACUGACGUCUGGUCCUCAUGUCGGAGUUUGACUGAACUGAAAAAUCCAGGUUUUCAGGACCUUCUGGAUUCUCUACAGAAGAUGUUUGACUCAGCAUCGUCGGUGCUGUCUGGACUCUGAGGUGCAGGAAACACACGAGGAAGUGAAACACAGAAGUAUCCAGAGCUGCGGCUGGUCAUCCUGUGGACUUCUCUCUUUAAGACACAUGAUGUCACAUGAAGAACUAAUGUGGAACAAAGAGAAAUGUUACGAUCACUGAAUUAAAAUCUGUGCAGGAUUUAUUUUACCUUAUUUGAAAUGAUCCAAGUGUCCAGUGAAUAUACAGAUAAAUAAAAACAAGGUUUACCAACUGUUGCCUUGUCGCUCGAGCAUUUAUUUUUUGUUUUGCGUAAAGAAUUUGUGAAACUCUGCUGAAAUAAAAUAUCUGAACUCA
This is a long non-coding RNA of Hippoglossus stenolepis (Pacific halibut), 698 nucleotides long. RefSeq lists it as uncharacterized. The record is from RefSeq and is a predicted model, not a curated record. NCBI's taxonomy places the organism in Eukaryota, Metazoa, Chordata, Actinopteri, Pleuronectiformes, Pleuronectidae. The transcript has 6 exons.